Molecule: long non-coding RNA, 607 nt
Organism: Mizuhopecten yessoensis (Yesso scallop)
Lineage: Eukaryota; Metazoa; Mollusca; Bivalvia; Pectinida; Pectinidae
Exons: 4
Source: RefSeq, a predicted model, not a curated record
GGGUGUUCAACGACAAAAUACAACAGUCUAAAGAUGGAACGGAAUAACAUAAGAAUGCUCUGCCUUCUAGCUGCAUUGAUGUUCGUGUUAAUCACGGACGUUGAGGGUGGUCAAUCGAACAAUGGCCCUCCCAAAGGCCACCACAACGGGGGAGCCUCAUUGGGAAGUUUACACUUCGGGAGUGUAUUCGGGAUUGCGAUCGGCAUUGGAAUUUUCAUGCGGUAUUUUCCGCUUGGAGAUAAAAUACAUCACACCUAAAGAUGUCGAGAGAUACAACACAUCAUUACAGAGCUCAGAAGAUAUUCAUCGUCUCCCGAAUAUCAGACUUGUUUGUUUACCAUAAAACAUACAGAAACGCAGGUCGUUUCUAAACUGACACUAAUGCAUAUGCAUUUUCCCAACUUUUUUGGUGUGUUUGUGAUUUGGCAAAAUAUAACUUCUAGUUGAUGUCUUUGAUAGACUUUAUAUAUAAUUUGCUACUGAAUAUAAUGAAUUUAAUUUAAUAAUAAGAGGUUGCACCUAAUGUUAAAUCAACCUGUGUAUAUUCCGUCUUUUCGUAUUGGAGAGUUAUCCGCUCUUGUGAGCAGGUAUUGAUUGUUACAUCAUU